GGCAAGUCUGGUGCCAGCAGCCGCGGUAAUUCCAGCUCCAAUAGCGUAUACUAAAGUUGUUGCAGUUAAAAGACUCGUAGUUGAAUUCUGGUCUUGGAUCUCGGUCUGCCUCAAACGAGGUAUGUACCAGGGAUCUGAGACCAUCCUCGAAGAAACAUGUCUGUCAUUAAGUAAUGGGCAUGGGAUCUUCGUCAUUUACUGUGAGCAAAAUAGGGUGUUCAAAGCAGGCUUAUGCCGUUGAAUACAUUAGCAUGGAAUAAUAAGAUAGGACCUUGGUCUAUUUGUUGGUUUGUACUCCAAGGUAAUGAUUAAUAGGAUCAGUUGGGGCAUUAGUAUUCAAUAGUCAGAGGUGAAAUUCUUGGAUUUAUUGAAGACUAACGAGAGCGAAAGCAAUUUGCCAAGGAUGAAUUCAUUAAUCAAGAACGAAAGUUAGGGGAUCGAAGAUGAUUAGAUACC
RNAcentral lists this ribosomal RNA (456 nucleotides) under uncultured Rozellomycota. RNAcentral describes it as "SSU rRNA". It matches the Rfam family "Eukaryotic small subunit ribosomal RNA", at positions 554 to 1016 of the family's 1831-position model. Lineage: Eukaryota; Fungi; Rozellomycota. The record is from RNAcentral.